CGACUACCAACGCCUCCCUCGAUGACCCGCCGCCCUCGAUGACCCGGUGCACGCCGCCCUCGACGACCAGACGCCCUAGCCAAUCCUCCUUAGAGAGUCUCAAAGUACAGAGGACGCUCCUAUAGAGCCUAACCGCAUGACCAGAGACGAGUGGAUGAAAGUUGUCGACAUAGCUAACGGUUUCCAAUCAAAAAAGAAAGGAAGAGUGCAUCUGUCAAGUGCUUGAGUUAAGACACUCACCACCACCAAUAAGCUUAGCAACCAAUCUGUGACCUCGCGUGACAUGUGACACGUCAUACAUCAUGGGCUAGAGGAGAUACCACCGUAGGAAGUAGCAGUAUGAUACGAUAUUCUGAUGCAACCAUCACCGAUGAUAGGGAUCACGACGAUAGGGACCACGACUAUGAUGAGUGAGUGGUGAAUUAGACUUUUUUGUUACUUUUGUGGACUUUUGGAUUGUGUUGAACAUAUUAUGACCUCCGGAUUAUAUAUAUGUGUGAAUUGAUGAAUGAUAAAUGUUAAUAUUGUUGGAUAUUGUUGGAUGUGAAUCGAUGAAUAUAAAUGUGAAGAUUGUUAGA
Molecule: long non-coding RNA, 578 nt
Organism: Asparagus officinalis (garden asparagus)
Lineage: Eukaryota; Viridiplantae; Streptophyta; Magnoliopsida; Asparagales; Asparagaceae
Exons: 3
Source: RefSeq, a predicted model, not a curated record